AUGUGCAUCCCAAAGAAAAUGGGUGGCAUGAGUUUCAGAUAUAUUCCAUGUUUUAAUCUCCCUAUGCUUGUUAAACAAGUUUGGCGAUUACUAUGUGAACACGACUCUCUGUGUGCAAAGGUGCUAAGGUCGAGAUAUUUUCCCUGAGGUGACAUUCCGAAUGCAGAAUUAAAGAAGGGUUCGUCCUUUAAUUGGCAGAUCAUCCAUGUGGGAAUUUAGUGUUUCAUGAAAGGUUACAUUUGGAGGAUGGGGAACGACGAGAAUAUUCAUCGCCUAUCGGCAUCACUCCUAAGGCGGCGGCGUUGGGAGAGGGAACGAUGGCGGCAGGCGGCGCUAGGGAUAUCUGCACGAGAGGGAAAAGUGAAGGGAGAGGGGGUUGCUUUUUUUUCUCGAUAA
Molecule: ribosomal RNA, 396 nt
Filed under: Triticum aestivum (bread wheat)
Lineage: Eukaryota; Viridiplantae; Streptophyta; Magnoliopsida; Poales; Poaceae
Description: partial small subunit ribosomal RNA
Source: RNAcentral